CCUACGGGUGGCAGCAGUGGGGGAUAUUGCACAAUGGGGGAAACCCUGAUGCAGCGACGCCGCGUGAGUGAAGAAGUAUUUCGGUAUGUAAAGCUCUAUCAGCAGGGAAGAAAAUGACAGUACCUGACCCAGAAGCCCCGGCUAACUACGUGCCAGCAGCCGCGGUAAUACGUAGGGGGCAAGCGUUAUCCGGAUUUACUGGGUGUAAAGGGAGCGUAGACGGGUAUGUAAGUCUGGUGUGAAAGCCCGGGGCCCAACCCCGGGACUGCUGUGGAAAAUGGGUAACUGGAGUACAGGAGGGGAAGGCGGAAGGCGUGGUGUAGCGGUGAAAUGCGUAGAUAUCAGGCGGAACACCGGUGGCGAAGGCGGCCUGCUGGACUGAAACUGACGUUGAGGCUCGAAAGCGUGGGGAGCAAACAGGAUUAGAUACCCUUGUAGUC
This 440-nucleotide ribosomal RNA is filed under the name uncultured bacterium. Its description in RNAcentral is "partial 16S ribosomal RNA". It matches the Rfam family "Bacterial small subunit ribosomal RNA", at positions 338 to 795 of the family's 1533-position model. The record is from RNAcentral.